GUUUUGAAGAAAAAGAACAGUUGCUUAGAUAUUGAAAUACAUACACUGUUACAAGCCAAUGAAUGCAUAUAAAACAUUUAUUUUCACUUUUAAAGGUCCUUAGAAAGGUAGUUUAAAUGGAUUCUGAUUUUCACCUCAUAUUUUGCAUGGCUAAAUCAUGGGAGUGGAAAAUGAUAGGGUAAUUAAGGCAUGAGAAGGACUGUUUAGCUUUUUUGUUGCAGUCAUGAAUGAUUUAUUGAAGCAUAGUGAAUGUUU
Non-coding RNA from Pelobates cultripes (western spadefoot toad), 255 nucleotides. The record is from the annotation of a GenBank genome assembly. NCBI's taxonomy places the organism in Eukaryota, Metazoa, Chordata, Amphibia, Anura, Pelobatidae.